GGUGAUAAUGGCGUAGAGGAUCCACCUGUUCCCAUACCGAACACAGAAGUUAAGCUCUAUUGCGCCGAAAGUACUUAGGGAGUACCCCUUGGGAGGAUAGGACGUUGCCGGAU
RNAcentral lists this ribosomal RNA (113 nucleotides) under Clostridia bacterium. The record is from RNAcentral. Lineage: Bacteria; Bacillati; Bacillota; Clostridia.